RNAcentral lists this unclassified non-coding RNA (335 nucleotides) under soil metagenome. RNAcentral's name for it is "partial contains 5.8S ribosomal RNA, internal transcribed spacer 2, and large subunit ribosomal RNA". The stretch from base 1 to 120 matches the Rfam family "5.8S ribosomal RNA", at positions 35 to 154 of the family's 154-position model. The record is from RNAcentral.
GAUGAAGAACGCAGCGAAAUGUGAUAAGUAAUGUGAAUUGCAGAAUUCAGUGAAUCAUCGAAUCUUUGAACGCACAUUGCGCCCAUUAGCAUUCUAGUGGGCAUGCCUGUUCGAGCGUCAUUUCAACCCUUAAGCCCUGUUGCUUAGCGUUGGGAGCCUACAGUACUGUAGCUCCCCAAAGUUAGUGGCGGAGUCGGUUUCACACUCUAGACGUAGUAAUUUUUUCUCGUCUGUAGUUGAGCCGGUCCCCUGCCGUAAAACACCCAAUUUAUCAAGGUUGACCUCGGAUCAGGUAGGAAUACCCGCUGAACUUAAGCAUAUCAAUAAGCGGAGGA